AAAAGAUUAGUUUUAAAAAAAAUAUUAAUUUGUCAAAUUAAAGAUGUUAUUAUUCAUCUUUUU
This 63-nucleotide transfer RNA is filed under the name Leptobelus sp. HL-2012. RNAcentral's name for it is "tRNA-Asp". The record is from RNAcentral. Lineage: Eukaryota; Metazoa; Arthropoda; Insecta; Hemiptera; Membracidae. RNAcentral also lists the same sequence under 1 other name.